UACGAAGGUCCCAAGCGUUAUCCGGAUUUAUUGGGUUUAAAGGGUGCGUAGGCGGGCUAUUAAGUCAGUGGUGAAAGCCCCAGCUUAACUUGGGAACUGCCAUUGAUACUGAUGGUCUUGAGUACAUUUGAGGUGGGCGGAAUGUGUCAUGUAGCGGUGAAAUGCUUAGAUAUGACACAGAACACCGAUUGCGAAAGGCAGCUCACUAAACUGUAAACUGA
RNAcentral lists this ribosomal RNA (221 nucleotides) under uncultured bacterium. RNAcentral's name for it is "partial 16S ribosomal RNA". It matches the Rfam family "Bacterial small subunit ribosomal RNA", at positions 524 to 743 of the family's 1533-position model. The record is from RNAcentral.